Molecule: ribosomal RNA, 384 nt
Filed under: Gyrodinium sp.
Lineage: Eukaryota; Dinophyceae; Gymnodiniales; Gymnodiniaceae
Description: partial small subunit ribosomal RNA
Rfam family: Eukaryotic small subunit ribosomal RNA
Source: RNAcentral
AGUUCCAAUAGCGUAUAUUAAAGUUGUUGCGGUUAAAAAGCUCGUAGUUGGAUUUCUGCUAAGGACGACCGGUCCGCCCUCUGGGUGAGUAUCUGGCUUGGCCUUGGCAUCUUCUUGGAGAACGUAGCUGCACUUGACUGUGUGGUGCGGUAUCCAGGACUUUUACUUUGCGGAAAUUAGAGUGUUUCAAGCAGGCACACGCCUUGAAUACAUUAGCAUGGAAUAAUAAGAUAGGACCUUGGUUCUAUUUUGUUGGUUUCUAGAGCUGAGGUAAUGAUUAAUAGGGAUAGUUGGGGGCAUUCGUAUUCAACUGUCAGAGGUGAAGUUCUUGGAUUUGUUAAAGACGGACUACUGCGAAAGCAUUUGCCAAGGAUGUUUUCCUUG